CUCCGCACCUGAGCGCCGUCUCACUCGCUGGAGGUCACUGUCGGCCGUAAGUCGUCUCAUGCGGACCGUAGAGUUUGAUCGGGUGUCUAAUGGGGGGGAAACUGCCCGAUGGAGGGGGAUAACUACUGGAAACGGUAGCUAAUACCGCAUAACGUCGCAAGACCAAAGAGGGGGACCUUCGGGCCUCUUGCCAUCGGAUGUGCCCAGAUGGGAUUAGCUAGUAGGUGGGGUAACGGCUCACCUAGGCGACGAUCCCUAGCUGGUCUGAGAGGAUGACCAGCCACACUGGAACUGAGACACGGUCCAGACUCCUACGGGAGGCAGCAGUGGGGAAUAUUGCACAAUGGGCGCAAGCCUGAUGCAGCCAUGCCGCGUGUAUGAAGAAGGCCUUCGGGUUGUAAAGUACUUUCAGCGAGGAGGAAGGCGUUGUGGUUAAUAACCGCAGCGAUUGACGUUACUCGCAGAAGAAGCACCGGCUAACUCCGUGCCAGCAGCCGCGGUAAUACGGAGGGUGCAAGCGUUAAUCGGAAUUACUGGGCGUAAAGCGCACGCAGGCGGUCUGUCAAGUCGGAUGU
Molecule: ribosomal RNA, 575 nt
Filed under: Citrobacter sp. HPC817
Lineage: Bacteria; Pseudomonadati; Pseudomonadota; Gammaproteobacteria; Enterobacterales; Enterobacteriaceae
Description: bacterial SSU rRNA
Rfam family: Bacterial small subunit ribosomal RNA
Source: RNAcentral